Lepidothrix coronata (blue-crowned manakin) is the source of this 1700-nucleotide long non-coding RNA. RefSeq lists it as uncharacterized. The record is from RefSeq and is a predicted model, not a curated record. The transcript is spliced from 3 exons. Lineage: Eukaryota; Metazoa; Chordata; Aves; Passeriformes; Pipridae.
GGAGAAGACGGGCUCCCCGACACAUUCUCCAGGUCGGAAAGCACGGAGCUGAACACAAACAACACAGGAUCCUGCUGAACUCCAACCUGGCCGGCCUGUAGUGUUCGCUGUCUCUGAAAGCACCCCCAGCCAAUACUGGGGAAGAGGAAAAAUCAAACCAAAACAAAAAGCGCUACCCCGAGUGCUUUCCGCCUGUGGCCCGUGGAGAGAUUACAGCAGGCCACAAUGCCGGCACUUACAUUGAACACUGGUUCCCCUUUCCAGAAUUUAGAAGCUUACGAGCCCCAAAAUUCGUCUUUAAAGCAGAUGCAGGACAACACCUCCUGGAGGUCAGGCUGAGACAUCAGGAACCAAGAAACUGUUUUAUCCGAAGCUGGGCCCGCCUGCCCGAAAAGGCACAGCGUAUCCACCCCACCCCUGCAGCACCAUCCAGCCCGUCUGAAGAGGAGUUACUACAAAUGUCCGAGCCUCCGCCGAGCCUACCCUCUGCAACAACCCCGGAGCCCGAACGGGAGUUCUUGGACCUCUCCAGUCGCCAGCAUCUUUGGUGAGCACCACAGGAGUGCACAGGAUUGGGGUAGCAGCCACAGCAGCGCUGAAUACGGAGGAUCAGCAACUCUCUGGCUGCUAAGAAGGCUCCUGUGUCUAUAUCCAACGAUCAGCCAGGCCUGAAACCUUCUUGUAUGCCAGUGCCUGAACUCACAGCUACUGAGUCAUGCAACUACAGAUCAUUAAAUAUAUAUGAAGUGAAAUUUUGGGCUUAGGGUAUAAGUUCACAAAAAUCCUGUGUUACGUGUCUUCUGGGCCAGGAGGGAGGGAGGGAGGGAAUCUAGCUCUGGUUUAAUAAUGAUAGAUGAUUACUGCUUUUGAAGUGCUAAAUUGUCUACACAGCCAAAAGACUUUUUUAACAUAAGUGCAGUUAAAGGUUUAAAACUGUAUGCUCACACCAAGAGUCUAACCCUUCAUCCUGCGAUGAGCUCGGUGCGGUGAAGCCCUGUAUUCACCCUGGAGAAUCGAGAGUACUGUACGGUACAUAAGGCAUGGAAAUUGAAGAUGUGUGAUUGAUAGUUUUCCAGGUAGUGCAGUUCUGCUGGGUGCCAGCACAGAUAACUGAAGGGCAAUGUUUUGUUUUGAUGUUGCAUGCUCUUCUCAUUGCAAAGACCUUUCUUCUCUCCAGAAAACUAGGUCAUUAUUUGCUGUUUUCUGCAUUACUUUAUCUCUUGUCUUGGUCUUUCAAGACAACUCACUAUUAUCCAGGUAGCAGCCUUUGUCAGUGGAUGUCAGACCUGCAUUGUUGAGGCACCGUCCCUGAUUUUACCCUCAAGACUGUGAUGGAUGUUCAUUUUCUUUAUGAUGAUGUCCUAGCCUAAACACUUGGUUCCAUAUAGUCUAUUACUUUUUGGGCAUAAUGUGUGUGCACUAUUAUAGAUACGUAAUCUAAGAACAAGCAAAGUCCAGGUUAAGGGCAUCUGUUGUUUAAAAGAAGUGGAACAAAUGGCCAAGUUAUCAGAUUUUGCUUGUUGAAAUGGGCAAUAGUAUGAUAAUUUUCCAUUGUCAGUGUACUGUUUGUGGGUUUUUUACUGGUCUAGUGCCAGCUUUCAAAGAAUAAUAGAAACCACCUACUGAUCGAUAUCAGUCUCAGCUAUUGCGAAAUUCUUAAUAAAUGGUUGUUACCCAAAAAUUUGCAUUUCUCUUUUGAA